Molecule: ribosomal RNA, 216 nt
Filed under: Proteus mirabilis
Lineage: Bacteria; Pseudomonadati; Pseudomonadota; Gammaproteobacteria; Enterobacterales; Morganellaceae
Description: partial 23S ribosomal RNA
Source: RNAcentral
GCUAACAAGGUUGGUCGAUUUUUUCAAGCCGUCGCGCAGUGUACCUAGAAGUACACGAGCAACGGAAGUUAAAAAAUCGGGCAAGAUUGAACGCAAAGGCAAGCGGGACAUUUGAGGAUGGGGUGACUGCGUACCUUUUGUAUAAUGGGUCAGCGACUUAUAUUCUGUAGCAAGGUUAACCGCAUAGGGGAGCCGUAGGGAAACCGAGUCUUAACU